Molecule: non-coding RNA, 3301 nt
Organism: Malus domestica (apple)
Lineage: Eukaryota; Viridiplantae; Streptophyta; Magnoliopsida; Rosales; Rosaceae
Source: RefSeq, a predicted model, not a curated record
AAACAGUCAGAAAAUUAAAUUUCUUAGUCUUAUGAGGCUAGUUUUGUUCCUAGCAUGUGUUAAUCCAAGCCAGAACAUUUGAGGGCAACUUUUAUUUUUGUAACGGUGGAACUGAUAAGAGUAUUGACAGUUGCCACUAACUCCAUGUUCAUCUGCUCUGAAGUUGUGGGGCUGGAAACCAAUAUGUGGAAAGCCACUGUAACAAGUGAAUCACAUGCAUCCCCCAUCUCAGGACGACCAUCGCCGGAUAUCAAAAACCCCGAUGGGAGUAUAGCUAUGUUCGAUGAGUCUUCCCCACUUACUGCUACAUUGAGAGUUUGUAUGUCAACUGGAGCGUAUAUGAUAAAGGAUCCAAGAGGGUCUAUGUGGCACUCUUGAAGCAUCAACAUGUUGUCCUCCGUCGGGAUGAAAGGCUGCUCAAUACACAAACCAUUAAUUCAAUAAAACUAAACUUUGUUGAAACGAAAAUUGUUAAAAUAAACAUCAUAAGACUGAAAUGUUUUACCCGAAUGAUGGAUAUAUGGUUUUCGGGAUGAGUUCCGGUUGAAAUGUAGGCAAUCUCUUGCACUGGGUUUCCAUGAGAGAGAACAUCCCACUGAGAGAAAAAUCAAAUUAGGUAUUAGUAAGGUCACAUUUCAACCUUUAAUUAUUGAUAAAUCAAGAUAUAAACCUGAAUUCUUGUUUUCUCAUCUCUUAAGAAGUUAAAGAUAGUUUGCGACGACAAAGGGAGCCAGAGAGAAGUAGCAACACUGACGAUUGUGCCAUGCGGUUGUCCAAUUUCUGUGCUUUUAUGAACAGAGACUCGAACGCCACUGCUUUCAACUUCUGACAAUUGGGGGAAGUCAAGUUUUCCCUCCAUGCUCAACAUUCCGCAAAAGUUCUUCACCAUCCUUUGGGAAAGCUUCAUUAGGCUCUUCUUGCCUUCAGGCAAAGUAACCACUAGACAAAGGAAAACAUGUUUCACCAAAACUCAAAAGUAGGCUCCUCUUGCCAUCUUUGUAUUAUUAUUUUCUAGUUUUGAAUAACAUAGGAGGUGAUUGAUGAUACUUACCUCCUCCAAACACACAAGUAGAACCAACAUCGUCCAUCAAACAAUCGAAUCUCUCACACAUCCUUUGAAGAGUAACAACCCAUCUCUCAGCUCCAUAUGCAGCACUACUACAAAUUAGAUCUCUAUAGAGCCGAUGAGUUUGUGUCUUGUCGUCAACCUCCAUAUGCUCAAUCCAAGUAAUCUAUUAUUUUCCAACUUAAUACUUUAAAAACGAUUCUACCAACUAUAAACAAACCAGAAUUAUUGUACAUGAAUGCUUUUUUAUGAAGCAUGUAAUGCCAUGAAAAUAAUAAUCGUGUACUAUCUGCUGUUGAUAUGUAUGUAUUCUAUGUAAUUAACCAUUGAUUAUUGAGGCUAAAGUAUAUAUAGCUCUAGGUAUUCUCUUGGCUUUUCCCCACUAGAUUAACAAGCAUAUCUCAGCACUAGUGUAUCAUGUAGACCUAAUUAUAUGGUUAAAGAGAUGAAGCAAACCGUGGCGUAUCCGUUAUGCAUGUCUUCUAUCAUGCAUCCAGAUGGUAGCCUCCAAGAUUGAGGCUGUCUGGCAAAACUCCCUUUUGCGGAGUUAUAUGAGACAUCAGCGAUUACCCAAGUUCCUGGCUCAGUUUGUUGACAAUGGCGAAGAAAGUAGAAAUCCCGUGGCAGCACCAAAGCUGCAAGCAACCAUUCCGAUUUCUUGACAUUCCAGUUUCGAGUACUUCAAUUGUCUUUGCUGUUGUUACGAUUGUUGGAAAGAGUUCUUCCCAUUUGUUCUGCAAAACCAAGUUGGUUUUUCUUAAACUUCUUUGCAUCAUUAAUUUUAAGUUUAGUUCGUCAGUAUAUAUAAUAAAUAAUGAAAAUACGAGUUAUAGAACUUACGGAAUCUAAAAACAUGUCAACCAAGUGUGCUGCACUUAUGUGCACUACUCCUGAAUCUUUCGAAGACUCGACCCGAGCACGAGAGUUUUUGAAGUGUUUGGCUUUUGGAAACAUCUUAUCAUAGUUAUCACGGUUGAGGAGAUAUCUGCCAUUAGUUGGGGAUUUGAUCCAUAUGGGCUUUUCGAUCUGGAAAAGCUUGAACAGUUCUUCCAUGGCACUGGCUGCAAUGUCUUUCAUGAGUGCCUUUUCCAUUUCGGCAUUUUCAUUUAAUUGGUAAGCUAAUGCGGGAUUCGUAGGACUGAGAUUAAGAGGUGGUCUGGCUAUCACUUGGUUCAUGGAACAUCCUGGCGAUAAAUUUAGCGAUGAUCCAACUACAGGUGUUGCAUUAUACUUGGGUAGAAGGUUGGCUAACUUAUCAUGCUGCAUAAAAAAUAUAAGCCUAAUCAGACAUCAUUGUAGUGAAGAAACAUGUACAGCAAAGAUGUGAUAGAAUGGUAGAUUGUAGUCAUAGAAAUAGUUUAUGUUUCAAAUAUUUACCUCUUGUUUCAAAUAGGAAUUCUCCAGUUGAAGUCUCUGCAAACAGGUUGGACAAACGACAUUCUUUAAGGCUUCUUUCAUUACAAAGUUUUCACGUCGAAUAUUUUCAUUCAACUGACGGAGAGCAGUGGUUUCUGCUGUCUCAGUUUGCGCCUGAGAAAUACCAUGUAAAGAAAAUCCAGGGGAACAGAUUCAUUAUAAAGUAAGAGAGAUGAAAAACAAAUUGGUAAAGAUUGUUUGAAUAGAGAAAGCUAGAGAACCUUGAUUUGGGUUCUUUUGUUUUGAAACCAAAACAUGAUUUGGUUUGGCUCCAGCCCCAGUUCCCUACAUAGCUGUUUACGCUCAUUCUCAUCUGGAUGGGUGCAGUUCAUGAAAAAUCUGCACCCGACAGAACCUUCGUUAGGUUAGUGAUUCCGGUCAGGGGUUAAGAGCUCAUAAAUCAAAUUCAACCAAGUUCAUGUAGAGAUUAUCAGAGAUUAAACAACAUCCCAUAUAAAUUCAUCAAACUAGUUCGUAUAUAUGCAAAUACAUAUAGUAGAACUGUUUUUAAGGAAAAUGAUCUAAUUUCAUACUCAAUGGAGGAAGAAAGAAAUAUAUAUCCAUAUGUAUUUUUUUACCAAUCAUGCAUGUUUUGGUCAUUGAAGAUUUAGAACAUGAACAUAAUAAAGUUGAGUAAAAAGUACAUAAAUUAAUUAGAGGUUAGUUCUUACUCUUCCAGUCGUUGUAUCUGCUCAGAAGUAUGGCGUUGACGCUUCUUGUUCCCCUUGCGGGAAGUCGAUGCUUCAUGUCCAUCACCGGAAGAUUGAUAAUUUCUCGGGAGCUCCAUUCUCUACCACACUAAGCAAACACAGUCGCACA